RNAcentral lists this ribosomal RNA (351 nucleotides) under uncultured Geobacillus sp. RNAcentral describes it as "bacterial SSU rRNA". It matches the Rfam family "Bacterial small subunit ribosomal RNA", at positions 1028 to 1382 of the family's 1533-position model. The record is from RNAcentral. Lineage: Bacteria; Bacillati; Bacillota; Bacilli; Caryophanales; Anoxybacillaceae.
AGGGUGGCAGGUGGUGCAUGGUUGUCGUCAGCUCGUGUCGUGAGAUGUUGGGUUAAGUCCCGCAACGAGCGCAACCCUCGCCUCUAGUUGCCAGCAUUCGGUUGGGCACUCUAGAGGGACUGCCGGCGACAAGUCGGAGGAAGUGGGAUGACGUCAAAUCAUCAUGCCCCUUAUGACCUGGGCUACACACGUGCUACAAUGGGCGGUACAAAGGGCUGCGAACCCGCGAGGGGGAGCGAAUCCCAAAAAGCCGCUCUCAGUUCGGAUUGCAGGCUGCAACUCGCCUGCAUGAAGCCGGAAUCGCUAGUAAUCGCGGAUCAGCAUGCCGCGGUGAAUACGUUCCCGGGCCUU